This 898-nucleotide ribosomal RNA is filed under the name Anthostomelloides leucospermi. RNAcentral's name for it is "partial large subunit ribosomal RNA". It matches the Rfam family "Eukaryotic large subunit ribosomal RNA", at positions 40 to 961 of the family's 3401-position model. The record is from RNAcentral. Lineage: Eukaryota; Fungi; Ascomycota; Sordariomycetes; Xylariales.
AUAUCAAUAAGCGGAGGAAAAGAAACCAACAGGGAUUGCCCUAGUAACGGCGAGUGAAGCGGCAACAGCUCAAAUUUGAAAUCUGGCCCUCGGGUCCGAGUUGUAAUUUGUAGAGGAUGCUUUUGGCGCGGUGCCUUCCGAGUUCCCUGGAACGGGACGCCUUAGAGGGUGAGAGCCCCGUACGGUUGGACACCAAGCCUCUGUAAAGCUCCUUCGACGAGUCGAGUAGUUUGGGAAUGCUGCUCUAAAUGGGAGGUAAAUUUCUUCUAAAGCUAAAUAUUGGCCAGAGACCGAUAGCGCACAAGUAGAGUGAUCGAAAGAUGAAAAGCACUUUGAAAAGAGGGUUAAAUAGCACGUGAAAUUGUUGAAAGGGAAGCGUUUGCGACCAGACCUUUUCCUAGCGGAUCAUCCGGUGUUCUCACCGGUGCACUUCGCUAGGUCGAGGCCAGCAUCGGUUUUCGUAGGGGGAUAAAAGCCUUGGGAACGUAGCUCCUUCGGGAGUGUUAUAGCCCUUGGCAUAAUACCCUUACGGGGACCGAGGACCGCGCUUUUUUGCAAGGAUGCUGGCGUAAUGGUCGUCAACGACCCGUCUUGAAACACGGACCAAGGAGUCGAACAUUUGUGCGAGUGUUUGGGUGUUAAACCCUCACGCGUAAUGAAAGUGAACGGAGGUGAGAGCCCUUUACGGGUGCAUCAUCGACCGAUCCUGAUGUCUUCGGAUGGAUUUGAGUAAGAGCAUAACUGUUCGGACCCGAAAGAUGGUGAACUAUGCGUGGAUAGGGUGAAGCCAGAGGAAACUCUGGUGGAGGCUCGCAGCGGUUCUGACGUGCAAAUCGAUCGUCAAAUCUGCGCAUGGGGGGCGAAAGACUUAUCGAACCAUCUAGUAGCUGGUUACCGC